RNAcentral lists this ribosomal RNA (527 nucleotides) under bacterium. RNAcentral describes it as "bacterial SSU rRNA". It matches the Rfam family "Bacterial small subunit ribosomal RNA", at positions 1 to 416 of the family's 1533-position model. The record is from RNAcentral.
UUCUGUAAGAGUUUGAUCCUAGCUCAGGAUGAACGCUGGCGGCGUGGAUAAGGCAUGCAAGUCGAGGGGGCCUCUCACUGUGCGCACGAAGCGUGCUCAGUUGAUAGUCACUAGUUGCUAGUUUCUAGAAAAAUGCAAAGCAAAUGCAUUUCCUAGCAACUAGCAACUAGAAACUAGAAACUGCGCGCUUCGCGCUCGUUGUGAGAGGUCACCGGCAGACGAGGUAGUAACACGUAGGAACGAACCCCGUAGUCAGUGAUAACCCGUCGAAAGACGGACUAAUACUUGAUACACUCGCGAGAGGAAAGCCCCGCAGCAAUGCGGGACGCUAUGGGAUCGGCCUGCGACGUAUCAGCUAGUUGGUAGGGUAAUGGCCUACCAAGGCAAUGACGCGUAGGGGAGGUGAGAGCCUGACCCCCACCGAUGGGACUGCGACACGGCCCAUACACCUACGGGUGGCUGCAGUCGAGAAUCUUCCACAAUGGACGAAAGUCUGAUGGAGCGACGCCGCGUGACUGAUGAAGCAU